CACCAGCGCCACGAGUGGGAACCACGUUUAUUGGGCCUAAAGCGUCCGUAGCCGGUUUGGUAAAUCUUUUGUGAAAUUGUACAGCUCAACUGGACAACGUGCAAGAGACACUGCCGAACUUGAGACCGGGAGGAGUCAGAAGUAUUCCGGGGGGAGCGGUAAAAUGUUAUAAUCCCCGGAGGACUACCUGUGGCGAAGGCGUCUGACCAGAACGGAUCUGACGGUGAGGGACGAAAGCCAGGGGAGCGAA
This 250-nucleotide ribosomal RNA is filed under the name uncultured archaeon. RNAcentral's name for it is "partial 16S ribosomal RNA". It matches the Rfam family "Archaeal small subunit ribosomal RNA", at positions 474 to 723 of the family's 1478-position model. The record is from RNAcentral.